GCCGGGCGUGGUGGUGCACACCUGUAAUCCCAGCUACUUGGGAGGCUGAGACAGGAGAAUUGCUUGAACCCGGGAAGCGGAGGCUGCAGUGAGGUGAGAUCACGCCACUGCACUCCAGCCUGGGCAACACAGCAAGACUCCGUCUCAA
RNAcentral lists this non-coding RNA (148 nucleotides) under Homo sapiens (human). The record is from Rfam by way of RNAcentral. Lineage: Eukaryota; Metazoa; Chordata; Mammalia; Primates; Hominidae.